Molecule: transfer RNA, 74 nt
Filed under: Chrysemys picta bellii (western painted turtle)
Lineage: Eukaryota; Metazoa; Chordata; Testudines; Emydidae
Description: tRNA-Ile (GAT) (tRNA-Ile-GAT-1-1)
Rfam family: tRNA
About the family: Transfer RNA (tRNA) molecules are approximately 80 nucleotides in length. Their secondary structure includes four short double-helical elements and three loops (D, anti-codon, and T loops).
Source: RNAcentral
GCUCCAGUGGUGUGAUUGGUUAGCACACAGUACUGAUAAUGCUGAGAUUGUGAGUUCAAGCCUCACUUGGAGCA